Long non-coding RNA from Anopheles gambiae (African malaria mosquito), 10139 nucleotides. RefSeq lists it as uncharacterized. The transcript is spliced from 2 exons. NCBI's taxonomy places the organism in Eukaryota, Metazoa, Arthropoda, Insecta, Diptera, Culicidae. The record is from RefSeq and is a predicted model, not a curated record.
ACAAUCGAAACACAACAAGCUGAAAUGGAUAUGGCAUUCCCCGGGAGGCUUUUGUAGGGCGACUCCAUUUCGUCUUUUCAAUCAAGCCGUUGCGAGCUGAUCGGAACGGAACGGGGAAUGAAAUUGCAACGCUUGGGGGAAAUUAUUACUUUUUUGUUGUUUUGUAUCGUUAUUCGCCCCGAACGCACCCUUAGUGGCUGCUCGUGUACAAAGAAAUACGGUUGAUAUUUACAAACGGCACCGCAAGAUUCUGUACGCUUUCCUUAGGCGCUUCUGUGUGUUUGUCCCAGCGGCGCACGGUGGGAACGCACGAUCGGGGGCUGAUUGGAAACUCAAUUCUGUUCCAUCAAGAAUGGAAUUGGAAACAGAUAUUGCUAUUAGUACUUGCUAGUAUUUGGGUAGACUUUGUUGAUCCUUUCCAAUUCGUUUUUUUUUGUAACAAGUUUAAUGAAAACCAAUUGGUUGCCGUUUUUUGUGAGCUUUGUACAAUUGUUACAAGAUUUUUCGGAUUAUAAGGUUGGAAAAGAAUUAGCUGAGGAUAAAAUAAGACAGCUAUUCAUUUGAAAAGGCUUCAAAACGCUAUUUUGCUGAACACGCUGCAUACUUUAAGGCGAGCUGUUCACUUAGUACAAAGGUAUGCAACGCUUUUCCAUCAAUACUCCUGAAGUUAUGCAAUUGCUAACGCCCUUUUUUGAACCAUUCAAUCUAUUAUCCGUUUAAUCUAAACGCACUGCACGGUGUCGUUUAGCAAAUUUCCCAUUCCCUAUGCAUGCGCAUGGAACUAGUUUUCCAAACUAUGGCGAACUACGAAGGAGAUUAUCGAGGAUGGAGUGAAACCCCUCCCCGAAACCACUGCAACGGUUCAAUCAAAUAGUUUCGGCCAACUCGGCCAAUAACGACCAACGGUCGGCUCCGGUCCCUGUCCCUCUUCUUCAUUGAUUGUGAAACGAUUCUACAGGCAUCUCACACGUGUGUUCGGUUCGGUGUGAAAAACAAUUUCACGUGCUACGUGUGAGCUUUUUCUUCAGGUUCGAUCGGCGUCCUUUUUGGCUGGCUAGAACAAAACAAAAAACCCACCCCCACGAGAGCGUGUGGGAUGAUGUGCUUUUUCUUCUGUAGCAAUCGAAUUUCAGCUCUAUUUCAAACUCGAUUGUUUUUCCGUGUGAAUUGUUUGGCAUUGCGGCGUUGCUGCCUUCGCUGCCGUAACACACUGCCGUGGGAGCCUCGAAGAUUCGAAAUGGCAAUUGUCAAUUUCUGAUUUUAUUUCAGAUUGUUUGUUUUCGCUUUUGUUCUGGUUUCUUCCUUCCCCUUCGGGGCACGAUCGCUGUCUCUCGUGGUUGUACGUUUUUGUGGUCCCUUUUUUUUUGUUCAUUUUUUUGUGUUGCUGCUGAUGCCCCGCUGCAUUCUCUAUCGUAGUUUGAGAGAAACUUUUUACCACCUUUGCUUCAUUUUACUUUCAACUUUCUCGCCACUAAAGCUCGCGCACGCUGGAAAAUCCAUUGCAAUUAUCAUCAGUCUCGCUCCUGCUCGUCGAACUGCCUGCUGUUUUUGGCAAUCGGCAACUCGAACGCGAAACAGUCGCAAAUGCACCCCGAAAUGGAGUCCCAAACUAUGCGCUGGCGUUGUGUUGAGUGGUGGUGUGGCGGUGAGGUGAAAAUUAGGUUCCGUUCACACCAACACGCCAUCCCUUCUUUCCUCGCGAUGCUGAAGCGUGCGCUCUGGUGCUGUAAAUCCUACCCGCGAGCGAUAAGUGAAAAGUUCGGAAAAAGGGUUGAGCGGAAUUCACCACCCCGUCCACCUCGUUUUGGGGCCACUUUUUCGGUUGCUUUCUUUCGUUUCAGUGGCGCAUUUAGGUACUGGGUGCUAAUGUGUGUGUGUGUGUGCCGAUUUUUACUGCUUCAUUUCGGAGCUACAAUUUUAUUGUUUCGAAUCACGCCGCCACCCCGACGAAGGAAUGGAAAAAAAAAACUGGGACCUGUUUUUUGUUGUUGCUGCAUUUUGGAUGGAUGGUUUUUUGUUGUUGUUGUGUGCGAGAAAGCUUUACACCGACUUUGGAGCGAGUUUUGGGCAAGGGAAACGUGCAACUUUUUCGCUUUUUGAAAUGCAACAUUUCGAGCAUGGAAUGCAGGCAAAAGUUUUAUCCAGCGCGUUGCUUAAGGGUACAUACUUGUUUGUGUGUGUGUUGCUCUCACUGUGUGUGCGCUGAAGUAGCCAAAUUCGAGAAGCACCAUGGAGCAUGAAAAACAAUCCAUUUUUCUCCCCCAUACGCUGCGAAGGUACUUUUUGUGUGUGGGUAAAAGUACAUCAAACAAACGCUUCUACCCGCUGGGGCGUAUUUUGAUGAAAUAAAUUUAAAAUAUGAAAGUAUGAAUUAAUGGUGCCCGAUGGAGAUACUGUGCUAAGCGUUUGCCUUUUUUUUUGGUAAAAUACUUUACAUCCUUUAAUGAGUCUAUAUUUAAAUAGUUUUCAUGAAAGUAGAAAUUUUCCUAGAAAAGGCGCACAAUUUCUGCUCUCGUACUCAUAACCGCAAAUCUGUGACUCCACAGAGUAUAAAGCUAAACUGUCUAACCGCACACUCCGAACUAAAUACCUUUCCAGGAAAUGAGAUCCUGCCUCAAACUGCUAUUGAAUUUGGUGGUUGAAGAGGAUAAUGGAUUUCCCUUUAAGCUCACGUUUUCCACACUCAUUUGAAUCCCCUUCAUUUAAAGUUUUCCUGCAGCGUUUGCACUUUUACGGACAACUGUGUGUCGGUUUUUUCCCCUUUUAAUUUUUGCUCUGCUCGCCACUACCCAGCCCGGGGAAGGUGUUUGAGUCACAAAGCUAGUUUAAAUGCGGAAAAGUGCUUGCCAUUUCCAAAUACGGAGCACACACCAGCACAAAGCUGGCUAUUGAACAUACAGCACACAUUAGUUGCAGUUCUGGAGCUGCAUUCUCGCCACAACCAGCCAGCAAAUUGGGUCCACAAUUCUGGGAAAAGCGCGCUCUCUCACGCUUUCCUUCCAUGAAGCAAACGCUGUGAAGGGGUUGGGGAUGAAAUUAAUUAGGCCCAAAUUCCUGGCUACCUCCCCGGAACCGACGAUGUCCACACACACACACCCCGAUUCGAAUAGGUUUGUCGUCUGAUUUCGGUUGAAUCGAGAGAGAGAGAGAGAGAGUGAAGUGGCUUUAAUUAAAUUUUACUGCCAUCAACCCUAGAAACGGACCGUGCUGGACGUUGGACAGGACGCAGCCGGCGAGUAAGCCGAACAGCAGCAACUUUGCAACUGUUUCCAACUCGAAAACUGAACCACUGAGCUGGUCACAUGCAGGCAAGGAAAAGCGUUCGAAAGGAAUGUCAAAUUCCUCGGCAUCAAAAUCAAACAUUCCCAACAACCUGCCUGGUUGCCUGGUUGCCAAAAGGUGUGUCCUAUCAGGUGCAGGCACCAGCAACAACACACGAAGUUGACAGAGAGUUUUUAAUUCCGGCAACGGCAAAAAUGGCAAAACCUUUCUUUUUUUCCCCUGGCAGUCGUUGAUGAUUUACAGGCAUGAGUUUUGCUCGUUCUUGCUCCUGCUUCACUCAUGAUGAAAGUGUCUUCGGUGGGUUGGCACCAAUUUAAAGCCUUCCACAGUGUUGCACAGCGCGCUUUGCAUAUUCCGUUUGUGCGCUAGCGGAAUGUGUUUGCGAAAUCCAUUUCGUAUGAUUAAAAUGACGACUUUGUUUGACUUUAAGCUUCUCCGCACGUUCGCCCAUUUGUUUGAACCGCUUCUGCUUCGAAUCGGUUUCCCUGGCCAGCAGCGAACAGUUGCCAGAGGGGUUUCCCCGUUUUUCGAAAUCCUGCCGAAAUGAUGAAUCUGCUUGCACGCUGCAAUGAACGAACGACUUUUCACCGUGCACAUUUGUCAUCGUCAUGAACGAAAUGAGUGGCGGAUGGAGGGGGUGCUGUGAGGGGAAAGAAAGUGCAGGAAGUGCAGUUUUUGUGGCAGCCGGAAGUGGCUCCACCACCGCCCAGUAGCUUAGACACUCUCGGGCUGCGCGCACAUAGGAGACAGCCAAUUCAGCAGGUGAAGAUUUAUCGUAUCAAACCGCGGGACCAUUUGGUUGGAAGUGGCUCUGCGAGGAAAAGGCCGGUGACGGUAUCCGGUUUCUCCCCAACCCAAGGCUGCUGCACCACCGUACACGCUCAUAUAUCACCCACACAGACGCGAGUGCACUCAUCUGCAAGCCAAGUGCUUUGGUGUUGCGUUCGCUCGCAAAUUCUCCCCUAACCGGAUUUACACAGUCACAAUUUGUGCGCGAUUUUUGCGUCACCAGAAGCUAAAAAAAAAGAAGCUGAACGAGAAGAAAGGCGAACCUUAAUGAUGAAUGGGAUGUACGUUGCAUAUUACCAAACCAUUCCCUAUCCCUUUUCUUCCUUCCUAUGGGUUGAUAAUUAAAACCGAACCCGUGCAGGAUUCGGUCGUGUUUUGCGUCGCUGCACGUGAUUUAAGCUGACAGCAUUGUAGAUCACAUCAAGCAGGAGAAGGGUAAGGGAGAACUGCAGGCUUCAACACCUUCUUUCGUCUGCCUCACGCACUCGCGAGUGUUUGCAAUGUCCCACGACAAGCCAAACGGGGGAUGGAUUAUUUCAUCCGGAAAAGUCGUUCGCACGGCAAAACACCGCCAAAGUCGUUCUCGCCCCGUACGCACUGCACUGGAAGCGAUUAGCUUGAAGGCGGUGUACGGUGGGAUACGGUUUUGGUUAAAAUGGCAACACAAAAGUAACAUCAUUAAUGAUGAAAAUUCUAGCUACUAGAUGUAGAAUAUUAUGUACAAAGAACGUUUACUUAUGAGCUUUCAUUCCCCUCUUACGUAAAAUGCGCCUAAAGUUAUGCAAUUUUCACAACAAAAUCACCUAUUGAGCGUUUCGUAGCAUCACUGCAGCUGUAGUACAACCGAAACAAAAAGCACAGAUGCGUAACAAUUCCUCAAAAAUUCCUACACAGCUUUUGACGGCUUGUUAGUCCAAUUUUUCCCCACUGUCGGAUUCGGCAGCAAAUCUACGGAUAAUUCGACACGAGCCUUCUGCCGGCACGAAAACGGCUCCACCGGUGGAAGCUGUCGUCAUCAUCAUUAGGAUUCUCGGCCUCCCAAGUGAACGUUUAGAACGUAUACCUCCCCUAGCUCGUAUUUUUGGAGGGGAACAGAAAGCCGCACGUACCGGGAACGGUACCGUUGACAACGGCAAAGCGACGCAGCAAUUUAUUUCAAUUUUCCGGUGACUAAUGUUAACGCUUUUCCCCCAUUUUCCCGGUGCGUCGAAGCGAUGCACUGGGGCGUGUGAAAAGCUGUACGCACGGAAGAAAUGCGCACUGGUGUGGUUGGUUUUGGUAGUUGGCAAAAUAUUGAAGGACCUUGUUUCGGGGUACUUCACGGGAACGUGCCUGCAACUGAUAUCGAUGGAUGAUGGGAUAGCUUCCAUGCUCUGCCUCUCUCUGUCUCUAUCCGUUCUCUUCUCUGUCAGAAAAAGCACCGUCCAGCGUUACACUGGAAGCCCGGUCGUACCGAUUUUGCUUGGGAAACUAGUUCCGGCUUCCUGAUUUACGGACAGUGCACCUACACCGAGUGUCCGCCCAGCAACAGGCCGGAUAAUUCAACGUAUGAUAAGCGGAUAGAGCGGGUGUUUGAGUGUAUCACGCUUCAGAGGCUUGAGUUGAGUUGGAAUGAUAGUCACACUCGGGCAAUAACUUUGUGGAAAUGCAUUUUCAUCAGCGCACAAUGAUAGGGGAAAGGUGUAUCGUUGGAUAUACACCGUUCGCUCUAAGUAUGAUUUUCAUCUUCGUGGGAAAAUAAGCUUACAGGGUGGACUGUUUGUUCGAUGUACGUGCAACUCCAGUAGUACAAUGUUUAUUGCUCUCACGUUUAUCAUCAUUUUAGCAUAAUUUAUCAUUUGCAAAAUUUCUAAUUUACUCGCUACAAAAGAAGAAUAUAAAAAGAAUAUUUCUCCGAGCAUCAAUCUUCUGAAGCAUGAUGCUCUGAUAAGCAAUAAAUGCCCGUCCUAUUGUUUCAUAGUUUGCUGUAAUCCUCUACUUUGUUUAUUGCACACAUCCAAGGGGAGAAAAAAACGCUUCCACGAUCGUUUGACAAACCACCGCUCCUCCUUAGGUACAACGCUCCAUUAGACCAGCAUGGACAAAUUUGGAUCAAAUUAUUAUCUGUUUUUCGAUGUGCGUGUGUGUUAGAGGCCUUCUUUUCUCUUCCGUACACUUACACGCCUCCCUCCAACAACUAUUAAUCUUGUGCAGUGCACUUACAUCCACCUCGCUCCGGUGGAGCAGCACAGUAUUAAGCUUCAUCCGGAGCUUUAUCCAAGGCGGAGUAAACAAGCAUGUACCGUACCGGCCACCGUUGUGAUGGAUGGAUGGACAGUGAGUGUUUUAUAUGAAUGACAAGAUUUAGCAUUUGAUGUCAGACGACGACCAUUAAUCAACCCACUUCCGAAGCGCACAACCUGUGGCAUCGGGCUUCCUGUUGCGCGCCCCCGGGGGUAUUUGGGGCCUGGGUGGUAGUAGAGGUGGUGAAAAAUGGGGUUUAUUUAUCUGUCGGAAAAGAAUCUACGCUUCCCCCGCGCAGCGGUGAAUUGGAAAGAAACAGCAUGAUAAAUGUUUGUGCGAAUGCAUGUUUCAACGUGGUACGGUUGCAAGACACAAAACGAGUGCUAUGCUUUGCGGGUUGCAUACUUCUAGGCGUUUUAUUCAAAAACGUUGUUGAUCCGGUUCGAAAUCAGUUUUUCUUUGUUUCAACGUUGAACUAACACAUCGUUUAUAAUCCCUGUCCAAUAAUUUAACCACUUUCGUGUGGCUUUCGUUCCAGCAGCUAAGCUUGGCAAGCAAUAAAACUAUCGCACGCACCAAUCUAUCGAAGCGCCAAUUGCACACUGUUAGGCAACCUUCACGCACGUAAGCCACAACCGCAACAAAGUCCGCUAACCGACGAAAUUCUCACUACGCAUCCGAGCCAGCCAUCAAGUGCACUCGUGCGGACGGGCACCAGCCUGGUGCAUUAGAAGGCCCCCGGUUGCGGUGCCCGCCCUCGAAAAGCGCACAAUCAUCGGGCCACCUCCCGGCCGGGUUCGGCCCAAUCAUUCGGAAAUAUUAAAAUGCGUUGACAGGUGCUUUCAUUAUUUUGCGCACAAAGUGCAUUCUCCUGCAGGCGAGCGGAACAGCGGAUCAAGAAGGUCGGCGCACCAAAUGUGGCUCGCGGGAGAGGAGGGAAGGGUUUUUGCGGUUCACCGGGCAGCUUAAAAUAGUGUGGAAAAAGGGUUUUUGGUACGUACCGUGUGUGUGUGAGAGUGUGUUUGUGGGUUUGAUGUCGAAUAGUAUUAAAAUAAUUGCAAACCACAGCGAGAAAAGUGCUCACUCCAGAGGGUGGGCCCGCGCGGACUGGUCGCUGCGGUGGCUCGAAUUCCACAGCCAUGCCAGAAGGCCAAUGUGAUGGAAAAUCAUCUUUCCGGUUCGAUGCGAAAACGCUCAUUUGCGUUUCAUUAAAUGAGAGGAAGCAGUGGGGGGGGGGGAGGCCAGCGUGAUGUUUGGCGUUUUGGCAGGUUUUCGGGUCGAAAAGGCAACCGCAUGUGUUUCCCUCCCUCCGGCGUGGCGUGGCAGUCCGGCCGAUAAUGAACUUCCGAGCCGGUGGUUAAUGUAAAGCGGUUAAUCGAUGGAUGAAGAUGAAGCAUUUUUGUUGUUGUGGGACGCAUCGUCCUGUAAGUAAAUGAAGGGGGGAAACGAAAAUUAAACAUUUUUCACUCCAAUAAUAUAUACAAUAAAUGGUAAAUGCUAUUGUUCAACGUUACAUUGCCUAACAGACAUCAUACAUAUCAUGAUCUAUAUGCUGUGAGCUAUAGACCAUUGCAUUACCUUCUCCUGUACAUGGUUGUUGCUGGUUCACAUACCUAUGCGGUGCUAUGAGUGUGUAAAAUCAGCAAAUUAUGCUCACUGGAUAAAUGGGCUGGAAACAUCCGUCGGACAUGGUCCACAACAUAUUACAUUCCACGCCAAUGGGCAAGAUUUGUGUAAUUGAUGCACUCUCUGGUAUCUUGUGGAAUGGUUUUAUCGCUAAAUUUUGCCCGCUUUGCGAUGCACGUAUGCUUCGCCCAUCUUAAACGAUCUCCUAGCAAGCCGAAUUUGGAAAGUAUUGGUUGCAUUUUAAUGGCAUGCCGUCCUGUGCACGAUGAAUGUUGGCAAACACAACGCCACCUGCAGUUUAUUGGUCUCGCGGGUGGUUGAACGGUUGAACCUCACCGGUUCCGGUUAAGCCGGUCAGAAGCGGGCGCCCGAGUACGAUCGAUUGCAAGGAAGAACAAAAAAAGGCGCAAAACAAACAACGAACACGCGAACCCUUUUAUCCUGCGGGUGCACCGGGCUGCUGGCAAACUAUUUUCCCCUCUGUUGUUGUUGUUUGUGCGCCGUGCAGAAGAAAGGAUUUUUAUUAACAACGGGGAGAAACAAAAACACCCAACCCCGGAUCCAGUGCCAGCGGCCGAACCCAAACAAGCGUGUUAAGCUAUGAAUAUGGUAUUGGGAAUGGCGGGUGGGAGAGGGUGGCCAUUCGUUUUAAUCAUCUCGUACGCAAAACUAUUCGCGACCCACUCCAUACACACACUCACACAUACGUGCGGAUUGUUAGAGAGAGGAAGAGCGAGUGGAAGCCCGCAUGAAUCAUAAAUAAAAUGAGCAAGCGUGCCGUUUUUCACCUUUUGUCGCUUUAACCACGUACGGGUGCAGCUUGCAUUAAUGGCUUGUUGUACGGUUGUUGUGCAAGUCAGAAGGGUAUAAAAUUACCUAAAAAGCAAAACGAAACAAAAAUACUAUUAAAUAAAUAUAGAAUAUAACUUAUGGCUUUUUGAAGCGUUCCGUUCUACAGUGAAAUACCGCAAAAUCGAGAAUUCUUUUCUAUUUUCCUGCCAAUCGUUGCCUUAUCUCGUCUCAUUUUAACAACAGUCCGGCGAGCUGCACCCGUUGCAAAAGGGUUAUUUCAAUUUAUGCCUUCAUGCAUGUGUCGGCCUCUUUUUUGUUUUGCUUUUUUUGCCCCAAUCCAUCCGAUGUGCCGAUGCCGAGGCCUGCAUUAUGCAGACAAUUUUCCCCCAAAACCGAGCGGCGCAUAAAUCAUGCAUAUCAACAUCGGGUUCGGGAUAGUUCGCUCGUACGAUCAGCUGCCCCGUGCUGGGCGACAGCAUGAGAGUGGUAAAGUUAUGACUUGUUGUACGUCGCUCUUCAUCUUUAAUUCGACACAACUGGCAGGCACAACGCACAGGCACCGGGAAGCAAUCAUGCAGCAGAAAUUAAUAAUUUAAUUCCUGCCACCCCUUAACGCGGGUAUGAUCGGUAUGCGCUUCUGUAUGCACCCUACCUGACUCAUCGAAAAACGUGCGAAAAGUUAAAAAACGAUGAUGAGAUUUUACCUUUUUUUUGUUUCCCAACCCUUCUCCAUGAAUACAUAUUUAAAAAGCAGCACAAUAAGCCGCGUGAUAACAAUGUUGCACUGUGUACGUUGACGCCUAGCCCUAUAAAAGGCAGAGCGCAAGCUGCAUCUUUGGUACAACUACUAAGUGAUGUCGUUUGAUCAAGAGUCGGUUGAAAUGGAUCGAGUAGCUAUGUAUACGGAAAAUCUUAUAGAAGAAAUGACGCUAACACUCGAACUUGCCAGUUAUGCGGUGCCGUUUGACAUGCGAUGCCUUAAAUGCAACGAGCAUAUUCCGAAAGGUGCAACGUUUCCAGCGCGCGAAGUCGAUAGUUCUUGUGCUUUCAUGGAUGAGUUAACAACAUACUUUAAGUGUGUGCAUUGCAACAAUGAAAUUGUGGUCCGUUAUACUUUGUACGACGGAUGUAACGAUUCCCAAACAAAGCUCAUCAAAGGAGCCGUACAGGUUCUGCUGCCGGAACAGCAAACCAAACCGAAGGAAAGUGAACCUAGCUCAGAGAAAAGCUGAUGUAAACUACCCUCAGGUGUCAUCAUGGCAUUGUUUCUACAAGGCAAAAUUAAAUAACAAAUGAAGAGCAACAACGAUUUUACCUUAUGCCGUGCGACAACGUUGUAUUCAAUGGACGGGCCGCAUACGAGGGGGCUGAUAAAAGUUUUGUUUCGAAAUCGUGUCACAAUAAAACUGCCCUUUGUUCAAUUCUCA